GACGAACGCUGGCGGCGUGCUUAACACAUGCAAGUCGAGCGAUGAAGCUCCUUCGGGAGUGGAUUAGCGGCGGACGGGUGAGUAACACGUGGGUAACCUGCCUCAUAGAGGGGAAUAGCCUUCCGAAAGGAAGAUUAAUACCGCAUAAGAUUGUAGUACCGCAUGGUAUAGCAAUUAAAGGAGUAAUCCGCUAUGAGAUGGACCCGCGUCGCAUUAGCUAGUUGGUGAGGUAACGGCUCACCAAGGCGACGAUGCGUAGCCGACCUGAGAGGGUGAUCGGCCACAUUGGGGCUGAGACACGGCCCAGACUCCUACGGGAGGCAGCAGUGGGGAAUAUUGCACAAUGGGGGAAACCCUGAUGCAGCAACGCCGCGUGAGUGAUGACGGUCUUCGGAUUGUAAAACUCUGUCUUCAGGGACGAUAAUGACGGUACCUGAGGAGGAAGCCACGGCUAACUACGUGCCAGCCGCCGCAGUAA
Molecule: ribosomal RNA, 478 nt
Filed under: uncultured bacterium
Lineage: Bacteria
Description: partial 16S ribosomal RNA
Rfam family: Bacterial small subunit ribosomal RNA
Source: RNAcentral